AGUGAACGCUGGCGGUAGGCCUAACACAUGCAAGUCGAACGGCAGCACAGUAAGAGCUUGCUCUUACGGGUGGCGAGUGGCGGACGGGUGAGGAAUACAUCGGAAUCUACUUUUUCGUGGGGGAUAACGUAGGGAAACUUACGCUCAUACCGCAUACGACCUACGGGUGAAAGCAGGGGAUCUUCGGACCUUGCGCGAUUGAAUGAGCCGAUGUCGGAUUAGCUAGUUGGCGGGGUAAAGGCCCACCAAGGCGACGAUCCGUAGCUGGUCUGAGAGGAUGAUCAGCCACACUGGAACUGAGACACGGUCCAGACUCCUACGGGAGGCAGCAGUGGGGAAUAUUGGACAAUGGGCGCAAGCCUGAUCCAGCCAUACCGCGUGGGUGAAGAAGGCCUUCGGGUUGUAAAGCCCUUUUGUUGGGAAAGAAAAGCAGCAGGUUAAUACCCCGCGGUUCUGACGGUACCCAAAGAAUAAGCACCGGCUAACUUCGUG
RNAcentral lists this ribosomal RNA (492 nucleotides) under uncultured bacterium. Its description in RNAcentral is "partial 16S ribosomal RNA". It matches the Rfam family "Bacterial small subunit ribosomal RNA", at positions 29 to 507 of the family's 1533-position model. The record is from RNAcentral.